RNAcentral lists this ribosomal RNA (258 nucleotides) under uncultured bacterium. Its description in RNAcentral is "partial 16S ribosomal RNA". It matches the Rfam family "Bacterial small subunit ribosomal RNA", at positions 96 to 354 of the family's 1533-position model. The record is from RNAcentral.
UGGCGGACGGGUGAGUAACGCGUGGAAAACCUGCCGUAUACUGGGGGAUAACACUUAGAAAUAGGUGCUAAUACCGCAUAAGCGCACAGCUUCGCAUGAAGCGGUGUGAAAAACUCUGGUGGUAUACGAUGGUCCCGCGUCUGAUUAGCUAGUUGGUGGGGUAAUGGCCUACCAAGGCAACGAUCAGUAGCCGGCCUGAGAGGGUGAACGGCCACAUUGGGACUGAGACACGGCCCAAACUCCUACGGAAGGCAGCAG